AACUCUUGAAAACGGAUUUUUCAGCUCUCGCAGCUGUGAAAAACGUAUGGAAAUGCAAUUCUUGGGGUGAAUUGUAAAAUCCCUUGAACCUUCAUGUUUUCGAAGGCAUUUUGGCCCCGAAGUCUCUCGCCCAUCGGCCCGUCUGCCUGGGAUUG
RNAcentral lists this ribosomal RNA (155 nucleotides) under Cornus multinervosa. RNAcentral describes it as "partial 5.8S ribosomal RNA". It matches the Rfam family "5.8S ribosomal RNA". From Rfam's summary of the family: 5.8S ribosomal RNA (5.8S rRNA) is a component of the large subunit of the eukaryotic ribosome. It is transcribed by RNA polymerase I as part of the 45S precursor that also contains 18S and 28S rRNA. Functionally, it is thought that 5.8S rRNA may be involved in ribosome translocation. Lineage: Eukaryota; Viridiplantae; Streptophyta; Magnoliopsida; Cornales; Cornaceae. The record is from RNAcentral.